Molecule: ribosomal RNA, 357 nt
Filed under: Triticum aestivum (bread wheat)
Lineage: Eukaryota; Viridiplantae; Streptophyta; Magnoliopsida; Poales; Poaceae
Description: partial small subunit ribosomal RNA
Source: RNAcentral
AUGGAACAUUUUGGGAUAAUGUACCCUGGUUUUUCUCGGAAAACCCUAUGUGUACAAAAAAGUUCUUUGUUAGUAAGGAAUCAAAUGCCGGAGAAUUCAUUUCUAAUAGAUACUCGAAUGAAAAAAUUCGAUACCAUAGUCCCCGCUACUCUCUUCAUAGGAUACUUAUCAAAAGCUCAAUUUUGUACUGGAUCAGGGCAUCCUAUUAGUAAACCCAUUUGGACAGAUUUAUCAGAUUGGGAUAUUCUUGAUCGAUUUGGUCGGAUAUGUAGAAAUCUUUUUCAUUAUCAUAGUGGAUCUUCAAAAAAAACGGACUUUGUACCGACUAAAGUAUAUACUUCGACUUUCAUGUGCUAG